UAAGGAAUAUUGCUCAAUGGGAGAAAUCCUGAAGCAGCAACGCCGCGUGGAGGAUGAAGGGUCUAUGACUUGUAAACUCCUGUAAAGAAGGAAAAAAUUCCCAUUAGAUGGGAGAUGAUGGUACUUCUGGAGUAAGCCCCGGCUAACUACGUGCCAGCAGCCGCGGUAAUACGUAGGGGGCAAGCGUUGUCCGGAUUUACUGGGUGUAAAGGGUGCUCAGGCGGAUUUGUAAGUCAGAGGUGAAAUCUUACAGCUUAACUGUGAAACUGCCUUUGAUACUGCAAGCCUAGAGUAUGGAAGAGAGUGAUGGUAUAUCUGGUGUAGCAGUGAAAUGCGUAGAUAUCAGAUAGAACACCAAUGGCGAAGGCAGUCACUUGGUCCAUUGCUGACGCUAAAGCACGAAAGCGUGGGUAGCAAACA
This 420-nucleotide ribosomal RNA is filed under the name uncultured bacterium. RNAcentral describes it as "bacterial SSU rRNA". It matches the Rfam family "Bacterial small subunit ribosomal RNA", at positions 355 to 774 of the family's 1533-position model. The record is from RNAcentral.